Molecule: long non-coding RNA, 1123 nt
Organism: Cydia pomonella (codling moth)
Lineage: Eukaryota; Metazoa; Arthropoda; Insecta; Lepidoptera; Tortricidae
Exons: 2
Source: RefSeq, a predicted model, not a curated record
CAGUUCAGUGGUUGCCUACAAAAGCAAUAGCUUGCGAAAAUAAGCGGGUGUAACAUUUCAUGCGUAAGUACAACUUUUUCGUAUUUUGAUCAUGUAUUUCUUUCUCAAAUCUCACAGGAACCAAGUUACUGAGUUACAUCAUUAGUUGGAUUAUGAAAAACUUGAUAAAAUAGGAGAUAUCAGUAAAUUAUUGCUAAAAAUAAAACAGAAAGUUUGGUUAUGUAAACCAGUCAAAUUCAGUAGUAUUUUAUUUAGGGUUGCAAACAAAUAGAAAAAAAAGUCCCCUGCAAUUACCCCAUAUUUCGGGAGUUUCAAGCUAUUUGAUAUUUCCAGCUUUCCGACGGAGGAUGAAAUUGUUAAAGAAUGGAUUGCGGGAACUGGAAAAUCAAAUUGGAUGCCUCACAAAUACUCGCGUAUUUGUUCCAAACAUUUUGAACAACAUUGUGUCCGCAAACUGGGCAAACGAACUUUCAUCGAAAAGUUUUCUUUUCCAACCUUGUUCAUACACGAGAGGAGAGAGAACAUUCUUUUCUUCAUCAUGUCAUGGAAAUCGUCCAUUCGUGCACGUCGUCGUCGUGGCAGUCUCAACAGCAUUCUGAAGCUAUUUUUGAACUUCAUAUAAUUGAUCCACAUGUUACAAGUGUAUGUGUAAAUAAAGUUUUCUUGACCCCCACAGUAUGUACAACGCGCAACACGUAAGAUUUUUUAUUUAAACAUAAAUAUUCGGUUUUAAGUAACAGUUUUAAUGUAAAUGACCAUGUUAGCUUAAAAUCAUAUACUGCGUAUCUACUGAGGUGUCGCUCAAGCACACCGUCAAGAACCUUCGCUGCAAUAGGGUUGUUUCCAUUUUGAAAUGCUUGUAUUAUAUAAUAUAUAUAUAUAUUACCAAAUUAUGGCCUAAAAUUCAAUUUAUUUGUGUUGUUCUCAAGUAAAAGGUACCACAUUGUCGCUUAUCAUAAGAACGCUCUUACAGGUUGUACGUAUAGAGAGCAAGCAAAUUGUAUCCUUAUGGUAAGCGACUAUGUGGUACCUUUUACUUGAGAACGACACAUUUAAUUAUUAUUUCUAGUAAGUACAGUUAUAAUAAUAUAAGUUUUGAAUAAAGAAAUUACCUCUUUUGAUA